RNAcentral lists this small nuclear RNA (141 nucleotides) under Microcebus murinus (gray mouse lemur). RNAcentral's name for it is "U4 spliceosomal RNA (ENSMICG00000042016.1)". It matches the Rfam family "U4 spliceosomal RNA". Rfam says of the family: U4 small nuclear RNA (U4 snRNA) is a component of the major U2-dependent spliceosome. The record is from Rfam by way of RNAcentral. Lineage: Eukaryota; Metazoa; Chordata; Mammalia; Primates; Cheirogaleidae.
AGCUUUGCACAGGGGCAGUAUUAUAGCCAAUGGGGUUUUAUCCUAGACAUGAGCACUGCUAAUUGAAAAUUUUCCUAAUAGGCCACUGUGACAACUUGCAAUAUAUUUGGCAUUGGCAAUUUUUGACAGUCUCUAUAGAGA